CUUCUCUCCAAUAAAAGGGUUCAACACGUGCUCCUUCCUCUCUUUCUUGCCUGCCCUGCCCCCUUUGUGUGAGCUGCUGCUGAGAAGCGGUCACUGAACCCAAAGGAAAGCUUGAGACAGGCUCUUGCUAUGCUGCCUAGGCUGAUCUCAAACGUCUAGACUCAAGCAAUCCUACUGAGCAGCUGGAACUACAGAAAAAAACAUCAAACACAUACCCAUUUUUGGAAGAAGUUCUUUAUCAGCUCCCUUGAAGAAGCACACAUAGAUCACUAAUCCUCUCUGAACCUAUAAGAAAUCAUCACAGAAAGCUCAGAUUAGAAAGAAGUCUAUACAGAGCUGUAGAGCCGCUGAGGACAUGGCAAGACAUCACAGGAGAAUGUCUUCUGGGCUUCUAGCCUUGGUGAAAAUGUCCCUAUAAGCCUAAUGGGGAACUGCAGGAAGGGGUAGACUACUGCCUGCAUUCCUGCAUGGGAUCAUGCAGACUUGAACGAAGUCCUGAAGGAGACCUCUAAGAACCUAUUUCUUAAGGCUCUCCUGGAAUCUUCUAGAUUGUUGGUGAAAGGACUUAGAAUCAGAUUCGAUAUGGUACAGAAGAAAUAAAAAUGAACUUUUAAAAAUUGUCUGUGAGUCUUAUAACUAAGUAAGACUUAUAACUAAAACUUACUCCAAAUGAGCAUAAAUGAAUAAUAGAGAUUUCGAUAAUGAAUUGCUUAAAUACACCAAAAUCUUUAAUUGUAUUUGCUGGAGAGGGAAAAAGGAGAGCAUUAUCAUCAGAUGGUAGCUCCCUGAUUGCUCUUUUCGGCAAGGGAAGCAAAAGAAAUAUUGUAGGUCCUCAAUGUGUUUGAGUCAGGUCAUUCUAAAGAACCCACAAAUGGAAAAGUCCAACUCCAGAAUUAACUAAUAACUGCAUUCUUGUAUUCAUCCAACUGUUAAUAAACAUUCAGUCAUCAUGCCAGACCAUCAUGGAGGUACGUGAGGAAU
Molecule: long non-coding RNA, 981 nt
Organism: Marmota monax (woodchuck)
Lineage: Eukaryota; Metazoa; Chordata; Mammalia; Rodentia; Sciuridae
Exons: 4
Source: RefSeq, a predicted model, not a curated record